This 461-nucleotide ribosomal RNA is filed under the name uncultured bacterium. Its description in RNAcentral is "partial 16S ribosomal RNA". It matches the Rfam family "Bacterial small subunit ribosomal RNA", at positions 338 to 795 of the family's 1533-position model. The record is from RNAcentral.
CCUACGGGCGGCAGCAGUGAGGAAUAUUGGUCAAUGGGCGGGAGCCUGAACCAGCCAAGUCGCGUGAGGGAAGACGGUCCUAUGGAUUGUAAACCUCUUUAGGCGGGGAGCAAUGCCGGGCACGCGUGCCCGGAGGGAGAGUACCCGCAGAAUAAGCAUCGGCUAACUCCGUGCCAGCAGCCGCGGUAAUACGGAGGAUCCGAGCGUUAUCCGGAUUUACUGGGUGUAAAGGGCGUGUAGGCGGGACUGCAAGUCAGAUGUGAAAACCACGGGCUCAACCUGUGGCCUGCAUUUGAAACUGUUUUUCUUGAGUACCGGAGAGGUCAUCGGAAUUCCUUGUGUAGCGGUGAAAUGCGUAGAUAUAAGGAAGAACACCAGUGGCGAAGGCGGAUGACUGGACGGCAACUGACGGUGAGGCGCGAAAGCGUGGGGAGCAAACAGGAUUAGAUACCCCUGUAGUC